UACGUAGGGUGCGAGCGUUACUCGGAAUUACUGGGCGUAAAGCGUGCGCAGGCGGCGCGUUAAGACAGGUGUGAAAGCCCCGAGCUUAACUUGGGAAUUGCGCUUGUGACUGGCGUGCUGGAGUGUGGCAGAGGGAGGUGGAAUUCCACGUGUAGCAGUGAAAUGCGUAGAGAUGUGGAGGAACACCGAUGGCGAAGGCAGCCUCCUGGGCCAGCACUGACGCUCAGGCACGAAAGCGUGGGGAGCAAACAGG
RNAcentral lists this ribosomal RNA (253 nucleotides) under uncultured bacterium. RNAcentral describes it as "partial 16S ribosomal RNA". It matches the Rfam family "Bacterial small subunit ribosomal RNA", at positions 524 to 776 of the family's 1533-position model. The record is from RNAcentral.